Molecule: non-coding RNA, 826 nt
Organism: Taeniopygia guttata (zebra finch)
Lineage: Eukaryota; Metazoa; Chordata; Aves; Passeriformes; Estrildidae
Source: RefSeq, a predicted model, not a curated record
CAGUGUCCUACCAUGGUGCUGGAUGAGGAGGGGAAGCAAAGGCCAGCCCCAGCAGUGCCCCUUACUCCCUAGUUUCAGGCAGUUCCAGAGAUGGAGCGUGGAACACGUAACUGUAAGCAGUCUGAUCAUAGCCAUGCAGUUUCUGACCUCAUAAAGUGCAAAUUGUCCCAUGUGGGAUGAAAAGUGCAUCCAACUCAUCCUGCAGUAAGUAUUUUCAGGAUCUGGCCCUGAUAUAAUGGAGGAUUUUUGCUACAUCCAAAGGGUAUGAUUUCAAUGAACAGGGAAAAAUGUUCACAUGGAAAUGCAGAGCUCAGAAACUUCCUGGAAGAAAGCUCAGGCACUGUGAAAUAAGCUCCAACCUUCCCUGCAUCAAACUUCUUCCUAACAGUAUGCAAAAGCUGCUCAAAUAGCAGUUGAGUUGCUUCUUACCCAUUCUAGGAGAGUGUGGAACAUCAUGUUACAGAGGACAAAUGGACAUUGGCAUUAUGCAUCCAUACCCUGAAAAAUACAAAAAUAUUUCCACGUUGCUGCUGAAAGAAGGAAACCAAAGGUGGGCAGGCCCAGCUGUGGGUUGCACACUGGGGAUGUGCAGCCUCUUGCAGAGCCCUAGAGAACCUGGUGGUGACCUCCCUGGACUUCUCUCUAUGUGAUUUCUCAUUGAGAGCUGUGCUGCUAAACUCCAAGAGGCAAUGAAACUUCUGGGAAUUCAACUGUCUUCCACACUCAGCCUGGGAGAGAAAGGGUGAGGGGUGUGAUGCCUCCAUGGUGCCAGGGGCAGGAGCAGCUCCAGCCAAAAUACAUUCCCUACAUCUGUGGAAAACCUUCA